UGACAUUUCCGUGAACAAUAGAGAGUCUAUCACUAUAAACCUUUGCUGAUCUUUCUAAGAAGCUAAUUGGACUCAACGGCACGUAGUUCGCUGAGCAUUUCACUGUGCCCUCCAUUUGUAGGCUGGAAGAUCGGCUGAAGGGCGGAGGAGUCUUCGCUAUCGCCGGAGUUUGGAGGAAUUAGGAGAACUUCUUUUUUAUUGUGAAA
This 206-nucleotide unclassified non-coding RNA is filed under the name Hevea brasiliensis (rubber tree). The record is from RNAcentral. Lineage: Eukaryota; Viridiplantae; Streptophyta; Magnoliopsida; Malpighiales; Euphorbiaceae.